UGCCAAAGCUAGCCAUGGUGGGGGUAGGGGAGCGCCGCUUGUGGGGAGCUGACCAAGUGUGGUGUCGGCCGCCCUGCCUGCCAACAGACAGCAACACUGGUUUUCCACUGCCGGCCAUUCACUGGACUUGGACAGCUUUGUUCCUUCUCUGGGACCAAGUCAACAAGCUGGGACCAGAGGAGCUGCGGCUGUAGCACGCAGGGACCGAACAAAAGAGCAAAUAUACAGAUAUCCCUGGAAGCCAGAGUUCUUGGAAGGAAGAAAUACACAUACAGAAUGGGAGAAGGCAAGGAAAAACCCUGUAAGGUUGGGAUGCAUUCAGAGAAAUAGAAACUUCUGAUUCCAUAUAGGCCUUCCUUCAUCCCCUCAACCCUCAGCUUUGUGGCCUCUAUCUUGGACUGUCAAAGGCCAAUUUAAACAAUGGUCACACAGAGAUUCACACUUCUCGCAAGCCCCAACUCAAUCUCCUGCCAUGUUUUUCAGGAAAGCGUUAACCCAGUUGUCCUGAGUUGCUCCAACUUUGCAGUUCUCAAGAAAGCCCUAUUCUGUGGUGAGGCCUUAAACAGUUCUUGGGAAUUGAGAUCUUGGAAUGUUCUAACUGCUAGGAAUGCUUUAAACACUUGGGACCUUGAGCCAUAUUAUGCCAGGCUUUCUAAAUAGUUUGUAUGAGGAAUGUGAUUUAUGAACAAACUCAUUUCCUUUGGGGACCUGGAUCUUCAGCAACUGUGGUCAGUCCUACAGAUACUAUAUCCCUUUGUAACCAACCCACAAUGAAAAUUGUGAACUUAUAGGCUUAGACAAGUCUCUGUAAUAGACAAAACUUUACAUGCACCUUCACAAUUUAUUCUUGGAAGAAUUAAGUGCAUCUUAUGUGUAUUAAGUGUAUUUUCUAGUGACUCCACUAGAAGAAUAUUCUUAGAAGCUUGUGCCUGAUUUUCUCCAAACGUUACCCAUACACCUUUUCUCUUCACUGAUUUUUCUUGGGACCCUUUACUAUAAUAAACCACAAUCAUGAGUAUAAUGACUUCUAAGUCCUAAAAGCUCUUCUAAUAAAAUCACCAAAACAGGAGUGGUCUUGGGGACCUCCAAAACACUUUGCUUCUAGAGUAAGUUUUUACUGCUAUAAAUUU
Pan troglodytes (chimpanzee) is the source of this 1130-nucleotide long non-coding RNA. RefSeq lists it as uncharacterized. The record is from RefSeq and is a predicted model, not a curated record. The transcript has 4 exons. Lineage: Eukaryota; Metazoa; Chordata; Mammalia; Primates; Hominidae.